Molecule: long non-coding RNA, 4199 nt
Organism: Equus caballus (horse)
Lineage: Eukaryota; Metazoa; Chordata; Mammalia; Perissodactyla; Equidae
Source: Ensembl
UGGGGCCCCAUCAUGGGCUUCUCUGAAGAAAAAAUGCCACGACCUACGGAUCUUUCAGUGUCUUACGUUAUUGUCUCUCUUAGUAGGGAGAGACCAUGAUGGGGGAUAAGCAGGUUGUUCAAUAGAACAGAAUUACCUGGUCGUCACUAUGAAGCAGAUGCCCCGGAGCUUGCUGCAGGCUUCUGUUGACUCGUCUCCUGGCCUGCAGCCGUCCCUGCCUGAGCCUGCCUCCCUGGACUGACCCCUGAAGAAGCUGGGUCUUUUGGGGAAGAGCCAAUAGCUUGUGCAACUGGAUAACAAAGGGGGGUGCUUACUGCUCACUUUACCUCUGGAAGACGGUGAAUACUGCCUUUCAAGCCUUGGAUUCAUUUCCUCUCCUGGAUCUAACGCUGGGCGAGACAACCACAGCUCCAGACAGCGUCAGGUGGAGCCAGCAGCAAGGCGACCUGAAUGAUUUGAACCUUGGGAUGAUUCUUAAUCCUUUCUAUGAAGAGAGUUUACAAAGCAAAACCAGUUCAAUGCUCAUGAUGGAUACUAUUGAAACUCUGAACUUGGGGGACCUUCAUAGCUCCAUCGUCUUAAUGCCGGUCAGCUGGCACAUGGCUUUUGCCCUUUGCUCUUCAUCUUAUGGCCUUGAGGAUAAAACUUUAUGUGCUGUAGAUGGCGAAGCAAGAAGAGUGGACGAGCCUGGUUCCUUGAGCAGCAGCGCCAGCCCCAGCCUCUCUAUCCACGGACUGCUUCUUAAGAAAACCAGCCAGCUGCAGACAAAGGAUCAGAUGGAGCUCCCGCCACUCCUGGUUGUCCUCACCAACUGCCCUCUUCACUAAUGCAUAUUCCCACAUUACCUGCCUGAACAGUGGUGCAGGAGCCAGAGAGGGGGAAUGAAAGUGAUGGAGGAGGAACAUACGUCCAGUAAGCCUCAAACUGUACCUUGCUAACAGCCUUGGGCAGGAGAGCAUGGAAGCUUAACAUCAAUUCCCCCAAAUUAUCCGAUUUGGAAAUGAGCGUGGUGGUGGUGCUUCUUUCUCCUCAUGGAAAUCACACAUGGCUUCAAGGAGUUUCACCUACACUGAAACUUAGAGACAGAUACGAUCUGUAGACUCCAAAACAUGUGUAAGGGCUGCCAAGAGCAGAAACCUCACAGGAAGAGGUGCAACAGUGUCUAGGGGACAGUGGCAGCAGGGCUUAGAAAGUGCAGGCAAACUACACUUCGUGAAGGUGAGUCACUCACCUGCCCCUUGUUUGCUCUGGCUGGGGAAGGAACUGGAGGUCCUAGGAUGGGCAGCAGAAGCAGUCGUGGACUUGGGUUGAUUCAGAGAAGCUGAGGAGGCAGAGUUUUCAGGAAGCAGUCCAUCUCUGUGGAAACAGAGAGAGAGAUUCUUUGGGAUUAAGAAUUCUGGAAGACUGUUCUUGCCCCCGCCCUGGUUGGAACCUCCUGCAAAAGGCUUUAUCUAGGACAGUUCAACCCAUAUGCUCUAUAAGUAAUGGGAAAAAAAAGUAGAAUAGAUUUGAUACAAACAUACUAUAAAACACAAAGACCAGUAAAUCAUGUCAACAGAACAUGCACCAGAAAAAUGUGGUCUGGAAGAGAUGAAAUUAUGAUCCAACUUUCCACCAUGAAUUAGAAACCAAACCAAACCAAAAAACCAUAACAAAACAAUUUGUUCUCUAAAGGAAAACCACAGAGCACAAAUGCAGGAGCUCAAAUAAAAGAUGACGAGGCAAUGGGAGGUGAUGAGAUACGACUAGAAGACUCAGGAAAGAAGGAGAAAAUGUAAAGCCAUCCCCAAAAUGAAGACAAAAUUGGAAGGAGAAAAAGGGAACAAAGCCACUGCAGAAAACACCGUAAGGGAAGCAAAAGGUAAAAAUAUGAAAUGCAAACUCAUGAAAUAGAGAUAAGGAGUUUAAGAGGAUUAGAGACAAAAUGGUAGUGCUAGCAGGAAGUCAAAGGAAAGCCAACUUGUACAAAGUUGGAGUGCCUGCAAAACAAUACAAUUAACAAAUAUUUUAAAAUAUAAUUCAAAACAUUUCCUAAAAUAAAGCAAGGCUUGAAUUUCCUUAUUGAAUGUUCAUACCACUUACAAGGGAAACCUGAUUCCGGACAGUCACCACAUGAGACAUUGCCUCGUCAAGUUAUUGGACGUAAAGUAUGCUUUGGGAAGUAAAGCACAAAAUAUUAAGUCACUUUCAAAGAGCAAAAAAAUCAGGUUGAACUCAGACUUCGCCAAAACAGCAUUUAACAUUAGAAGAGAAUAGAGAAACAUUUAGAAGAUAUUUAAGGAAAGUGCAAACCAAGACUUUUAUAUCGUGCAAGCUGUUGAACAAUUGGAAAGGCUGUAACAAACUGUUUGAACAUGCGAGAGCUCAGAAAGUGUCGUUCCCAUGAACCCUUCUUGAGGAAACAACCAGAAAAUGAACUUCGGCCAACUGAGAGUCAACUACAGAAACUUUAGCCAAGUCUGUCUGUAAGCGCGGAUUAUAUUUAGGUUUAGAUCUAACAGUAAAUGUGAUGUGGGGAUUGGAGUACAAAGUAGAGUGUAAAUGUUGUAUGCUCUGACAAUGUAGAAAUAAUACAACUAACCAAAAUUGGCAUGGGAAAGGGGUAAAAGAUGGCAGGGAGUUGAGUAAUUGCCUUACCUGUAAAAUCGGAGAGACGAAGGAGAGAAUUUAAAGCUAAAGGAUCAAUGGACAUAUAUAAACAUUUUCAAGAGUCCAAAGUAAAAACUAAUAUGGAUAGUAUUAUUGACUAAAGUCAGGAAGUGGAGGAGAGGUAAGAGAAAGGGAAGGAAAUACACAUUAAUUUUAUUAUUUCUCGACGUGUUUAAAAAGCAGAUGCUCAAAGGUUCUCUAAGGUGACAAAAUUAUGAAGACAAUCAUCAGAACAAUAUUACAAAUCCUCCUAAAUAUCAGAACUUCUCUUCUCUUGAGGCCUUUCUCCUCUCCUCUCUUUUUCCUCCCUGGCCUGACCCCCCCAGAAAACAAAUAGACUUAUAUGGAAAGAUUUUAAAACGUUAUAUUCAGAGAACAAAAUAGUAUGGCAUAGAUAAGCUCAAACUCAUCUAUCACAUCAACAAAUCUAAAUAAGAUUAACUUGUACAAAUGGGAUCAAAUGGUUUUCACAUUAUGUCAUAAACUACAAUCCAAUUUUAUGCUAUUUAAAAGCAACAUAUAUUGGGGCUGGUCCAGUGUCUUAGUGGUUGGGUUCUCAUGCUCUGCUUUGGCAGCCCAGGGUUUGUGGGUUCGGAUCCUGGGUGCAGACCUACCCACUGUUCAUCAAACCACGCUGUGGUGGCAUCCCACACACAAAAUAGAGGAAGAUUGGCACAGAUGUUAGCUCAGCGACAAUUCUCUACACCAAAAAAAAGCAACAUACCUAAAACAGUGAACCAUAAAGGUUGAAAAUGAAGAGGAGGAACAAUGUGUGCCAGGCAAGCAAAAACCAAAAAAAAGUAAGUGUUGUCAGUUUACCUUCAAAGAAGAGGAAAUUCAGGGCAAAACCAUUAAAUGAGACAAAAGAGGGGACAUUAUAAUGCUGAGCCAUACUUCACACAACCAAGAAAGAAUAGUUAACAAAUAUCUGUGCGUAAAAUCACGUAGCAACAAUAUUCAUAAGGCAGAAAUUACAGAAGAUAUAAGGAGAAACAGAAACACACUUCUAGUAGGAAACUUUUUACAACCUUAUUAAUUCAUGUCAGAAUUAAUGUAAAUAACAAAAAUAAGUAAAAAUUAAGAAAGUUGAUCUGAUUGAUCUAUGUCAAAAUCUAUGUCCUGAAAAUGGAGAAUUUACUUUCUUUUCAAGAGUCAAUGAAACACAAGAGUCAAUGAAACACCCAUGAAAACUGAGCACAUAAUUGGUGAUAAUGAAAAUCUCAAAAAUUCCCAAAAGUAGGAGGAGCACAGGAAAACACUCUGAUCAUGAUACGGUUAACCUAGACAUUGGUAACAAAAUAGAGAGACGGAAAAAGAUUCUUCUAUCUGAAAUUUUAAAAAAGAUAAGCAACUCUAUCCUAAACAUCUAUUAGGUCAAAAAAGAAACACAUACAAAAAUUGCAGAAAUUUUAGAAAACAGUGACAAUUGAAAAAAACUAUACAACAGAACCUGUGAGUUUUAGUGAGCUCAAAGGAAAAUGCAUAUCCUUAAAUAUUCAUGUCAAUAAAAAUAGAAAGAAUAAAACCAUUUUAAACAUCUAAGUCCAUUU